CAAUAGCGUAUAUUAAAGUUGUUGCAGUUAAAAAGCUCGUAGUCGGAUUUUGGCAUCAUGCCGAACUGUCAGCCGAUUGGUUUGUACGGUUUGGCGGGUGCUCUCCUUCCGGAGGCUCGUUUCCUCUUUCAUUAGAGGGUUCGAUGGUUCCGGGUCUUUUACUUUGAAAAAAUUAGAGUGUUCAAAGCAGGCGAUCGCUUGAAUACAUUAGCAUGGAAUAAUAGAAUAGGACUUUGGUUCUAUUUUGUUGGUUUCUAGGACCGAAGUAAUGAUUAAUAGGGACAGUUGGGGGCAUUAGUAUUUAAUUGUCAGAGGUGAAAUUCUUGGAUUUAUGAAAGACUAACUACUGCGAAAGCAUUUGCCAAGGAUGUUUUCAUUAAUCAAGAACGAAAGUUAGGGGAUCGAAGAUGAUUAGAUACCGU
Molecule: ribosomal RNA, 422 nt
Filed under: uncultured eukaryote
Lineage: Eukaryota
Description: bacterial SSU rRNA
Rfam family: Eukaryotic small subunit ribosomal RNA
Source: RNAcentral